CGCCGCCGCCGCCGCCGCGGAGGUCGCCGUUGCCGCUGGGGGCCCCUUUUCGGCGCUCUUGUCCCCAGGGUAGUCAGAAGCGGCGAGGUUUUCCGGGGUGCCGUAGGCCGUCUCAAAAAACUGGUCGAAAGCCUGUGGCAGGACGCCGUUCCUGCCCACCGUGCUAUAGAAAUUGGACGAGACGGCGGGGGUGGGGUGGUGGUAGACGUUGGCCGAGCUCUUGGCCAGCACGUCGCCAGGCACGCCGGCCGCGCUGGGCGCCUGCAGGCAGUCUCUGUGCACGAGCUCCUCUGCGGAGUAGCAGUGGGCCAGAUUGCCGCGGGGGUGCCAUUUAGUGGCGGGCUCAAUGGCGUACUCUCUGAAGGUCACUUCGCGCACGGGUUGGACCUGGGGCAGGUUGGAGGAGUAGGAGUAUGUCAUUGGGCGCGAAGACGGGGUCUGGGGCAGAAAAGAAGGGAGGCUGGAGAAAUCUGGACCCGAGACGUAGUAAGUACAACUUGGCAAAUACAUGUUAGAGGAGCAGGGACCACGCUCAUCAAAAUCCAUCAUUGGGCUACCUUGGGCUCUCCGCAGUAGCCGAGCUUAACAUGAUUCUCCACUGCAGCUGCCUCUUUGAAGCGGAUCCGUGAAGUAGAAAUUUGGAGACGUAAGCUGACGUGGAAAUCUAUCCCCAUCCUUAGCAGGGAGGUGCUGGUCAUGUGACCCGAUGUUGAAAUUGACAAGCUGCGAGCUAGUCCGGGCCUUUUUCCCCCCUUUCCUUUUUUUUCCCCUCCCCUCCCUCCUCGGCUUCCUUUCUUUGUAGCCACCUCAGGGGAAGCAACAGAUCGUCACUCGGUGUUCUCACCGAAAGCACGUAAUCGCCGGUGUAACUCAUGUUGGCUGGGGGGCCUCCCGGCGCGCGGUGAGGCUGGGGUGCGCCCUGGUGCAGCUCGCUUUUGCUCAGCUGCAUGAUCCUGGCCCUCGAGUGCGCCCUGGGCGGUGAGAGAUCUCAACUCCCGACAUCCCCACCCCCACUCCCCGGGUGGGUGAGGGAUGCUCUGGGUUGGGGGUGACCAGGUGGAAGCCCGAAUCUGUGUGGCCUGUGGUCUCAGAGUGUGUUCUUCUGGAGACUCACGUUCUCACCCCCCUUCUUCUAAGCCCCCCUCCCACAGGCUUGCUCUGGGAAGCACCUCAGCCUAAGAAGCUAGCCAGACCCCUUUUGGGGCCAGGGUUCGCAGCCGUGGAUGUGCCCGCCUCGAGGCUUGUCCGAUUUGCACGGUGACUUGAUUACACGCUCGCAUUCACGGUCACUUCCGAAGCGCUUUAGUGUCUUCCGUCCCUAAACCGCCAAGAACCAAGGCGGCUUCCCCCGCGGUUUGUCAAUGAUUCGCGGGGUCCGGAAGGUCCUUCGUCUUACCCGGGAUCCACCUUUCCCUUAAUCUUCCCCGCCUGUCUCUUCACCCCACCCGCUGUCCUUGGAGAAAUCCCCUUCUCCUAGCUGCCUGCCUGGGUUCCAGUGACUCGGCAGAGCCAGACGCUCUGGGGCUGCGCCUCUGCUCUCCGGUCCGCAUGCCUGCCUGGUCUUCUGGAGCUGAGGAAUCGGGAAACCAUGCAAUUGAGGCAAGCCUUGGGCUGUUUUAGAGGCGCUGACAUCCGAGGAGCCUUCCCCUGGGGCCAAGCUGAGUGGGUGACUGUUUGUCUGGAUCCUAAGGGUGUCUGCAGGAGACAAGGAGAAUUCCCGAGGAAAGCAUGGGGACAGAGGAAGGAGCUCCAGGAAUGGUUGGCAGGGCAAUUGGGCAAGCUGUACCGAAGCCGGGUGCCCAGAGGGACUUGCAACCUGGAAGGGGGCGUGUGGGGGCGCUGCCGUGAAGAUGAAUGAGGGAAGAGGGUUUUGAUGCCAGCAGAAGGGAAAACGCCCCGGAGCUGCCGAAUGCUUUUAGUUCCCCAGCAGGAACAAGAAGCGGGUGCUCAGAUCCCAAGGCUGCGCAACGUUCCCAGCUUUGACCGCUUCCGCCCCACUUGCGCGGAAUACGCACAGGAGGCCCAGCAGCCAAGCCGAGCUGGGCUCUGGGGAAGAACCGAAUGGGAAUAAGGCCACCCCGGAAAGCCAAGUCCGAGUUCCAAUUCUUGAAGAGACCGCGGCGGGCAAGGUUGUGACAUUGGCCCUGGCGACUGUUUUCCCAUAAGCUGCUGUUUCUCAAGAGCUCCACAGCGCGGGGCCAUCUUCAGAAAACACUCUUCGGCGUGUAUUUCCUUUAAUCGUCCAUCCGGAGCUCCACGGCGGCUAAUGCGCGAGGCCAAAAAUGUUUGGAGGAAGAAAAACAAAGGCAGGAAGUGGCGGCGGCCUGACGGUGCGUGUGUGUCUGUAAAGAAGGGAGGGAGCCGGUUCAAUCUCUCCUUGUUUUUCCGAACUUCAAGUUCUAGGCGGAUCUCUGCAGGGCUGGCCCUGUCUCUCCCGGCGCAGCUUUUGGAGGUGGCCACCAGGAGAGAAGGCCGGCGCCCGCGCCAGCCUUGUCAAGCGGAAAUGGCUAACAAAAUUUGGUCAACAAAACUGGCCAAGCGUUUCUGAGGCUUCUUCUGGUUUGUUCUGAAGUUGCGGGGGUGGGGGCGGUGCUGCGCAUCGCUUCCCGGACCCUCUUUGGAGGGCUGACUGCCACCGUCUGAGGAUGGUGGUUAGUGCAACCCGCGCUCCACCCGCCUUCCCAGGCGGGAUAUCAGAAUAAAGUCUGUCCA
Ictidomys tridecemlineatus (thirteen-lined ground squirrel) is the source of this 2712-nucleotide long non-coding RNA. RefSeq lists it as uncharacterized. Lineage: Eukaryota; Metazoa; Chordata; Mammalia; Rodentia; Sciuridae. The record is from RefSeq and is a predicted model, not a curated record.